AGUGAACGCUGGCGGUAGGCCUAACACAUGCAAGUCGAACGGCAGCACAGUAAGAGCUUGCUCUUACGGGUGGCGAGUGGCGGACGGGUGAGGAAUACAUCGGAAUCUACUUUUUCGUGGGGGAUAACGUAGGGAAACUUACGCUAAUACCGCAUACGACCUACGGGUGAAAGCAGGGGAUCUUCGGACCUUGCGCGAUUGAAUGAGCCGAUGUCGGAUUAGCUAGCUGGCGGGGUAAAGGCCCACCAAGGCGACGAUCCGUAGCUGGUCUGAGAGGAUGAUCAGCCACACUGGAACUGAGACACGGUCCAGACUCCUACGGGAGGCAGCAGUGGGGAAUAUUGGACAAUGGGCGCAAGCCUGAUCCAGCCAUACCGCGUGGGUGAAGAAGGCCUUCGGGUUGUAAAGCCCUUUAGUUGGGAAAGAAAAGCAGCAGGUUAAUACCCCGCUGUUCUGACGGUACCCAAAGAAUAAGCACCGGCUAACUUCGUG
This 492-nucleotide ribosomal RNA is filed under the name uncultured bacterium. Its description in RNAcentral is "partial 16S ribosomal RNA". It matches the Rfam family "Bacterial small subunit ribosomal RNA", at positions 29 to 507 of the family's 1533-position model. The record is from RNAcentral.